CACGUAGGCGGAUUGUUAAGUCAGGGGUGAAAUCCCGGAGCUCAACUCCGGAACUGCCUUUGAAACUGGCAAUCUUGAGUUCGGGAGAGGUGAGUGGAACUGCGAGUGUAGAGGUGAAAUUCGUAGAUAUUCGCAAGAACACCAGUGGCGAAGGCGGCUCACUGGCCCGAUACUGACGCUGAGGUGCGAAAGCGUGGGGAGCAAACA
Molecule: ribosomal RNA, 207 nt
Filed under: uncultured bacterium
Lineage: Bacteria
Description: partial 16S ribosomal RNA
Rfam family: Bacterial small subunit ribosomal RNA
Source: RNAcentral